GACAGGAAGAACUUUAGCUUGUCCAGCUUUACCUAUUCUGUCUAUGAAAAGUUACACCUGCUGUAUGUCUAUCUGUCAUGCAGAUGUUAAAGAUCACCAGAGUGUCCAGAUCCAGAUCCUGUCCAGAUCACCAGAGUGGCAGAAGCGUGCUUCAAGGGACUGACAUCAUGCAGUCCUUCCAAUAAUGCUUAUGAAGGCAUUCACAUAAUAAUCUCUUUAUGGAUCUUAUCUUUUAUCCUGAAUUAAAUGUUCCUAAAAAUGAAGUUGAAUAAUCUCCUCUGGGAAAGAUUGUUGGAAGGAUGGUAGUAUGCCCACCAUGAGCAAUUACAUUAGCUUUAGUCUGUGACUCACAGACUGUUUAAAUGGGCAUUCUUGUACUGCUACCAUGAUUUAAAAUAUGACAUUACACUAGUGUUGAACAGACUUGAGAGAUACAAAUGCCAAUACAAAUAUUUAGCGGUCAGAAUGUAAAAUGGAUGGUAAGAUUAAGUGUUUCAUAUGCAAGAUUAAGUGUUUCAUGGAUGAUAUUGUUGCUUCUAUUAGCCAGCUAACUAGAUGUUGCAUUGUGUGACUUGAAUUCCACUUCAGAAUUCCUACUGAUUCCACUUUAAAAAUGAACCGACCCAAAUUACACAUGCUUUAAAUAUUGUUCUUACAUCAUUUCCCAGAACUGUGACAGCUUUUCAUAAUUCCCCACCCUCACCUCCUUCAUUUUCAUCCAGGGUUCAAAUUACAGAGCACUGCAUUCACAUUCAGGGACAAACUAGAUAAGAUGCAGAUUUGUGGUCAAAUCUUCUGAUUUUUAAAAUGAUCUGAGAACAGCCAGGCAAAUUGGAUUGCCGUCUUAGUGAUGAGGGAGGGUUAACCUCCCCCAACCCCCACCCUUUCUCCCUGCAUUGUCUCCCAGAUUUAAAUUGCCCUUCUGAUGCUGUGGUGGGGAAAAUGAUACUCAUAUUUAAUUAUCUGUGGCUCAUAGCACUUUCAGCAGAGGGUUUGAAUCAGGGUAAUGGCAUACAUAGUGGAAGAGUUAACUCCUUAGUCCCCUACAGUUGCAAACUUGAUCUACUUCCUUUGUCCCAGAUUGGUUACAAUAUAGCCCCGCCCCACUCAAGUUUUUAAAAAGGUUGGGGGAUCCAAUCAUGGAACUCCCAUGAAACAUUAGUUUGGUUUUCAGUGACAUUAUUACAUCUAACAUCUAACAGGUAUCAGCUUGACUGUGUUGAUUCACAUAAUUUAGGUAAUGAAAUUUUGUGGUUUCAUGAAGGCACACAUCAUUGCUUAACAACAUCCCAUUUGCAACAUCAUAUCUGAUCGGGAGCAUACAUCCAUGUAUUCUUAUCUGUGGCUUUCAUUUCUAAAGACAGAGACAAAAAUAGCUAUGAAAAAAAUGGCAUGAAGUUUAAAAAAUGAAUAUUUGCAUAAUUUUUCUACUAGUUAGAUUUUUCAAAAAAUCUACCCCAUAUUUUGAAAUGAAAAUCAUGAACUGCAAAAAUUGAUUGAUUACUGAACUUUUGGAGUUGAUUCAGUCAUUUCUUGCUCCGUAUUUUUGCAUUUCAUAGCCCUGUACAUAUAAUGCAUUAAGCAAAAAGUAAAAUGACAUUACAUUAUGUGUGACCUGCGUACAAAGGUUCAUAUAACAUUUUCCUUCAAUAUUGCAUUUGUGAUUAUGUUCCUGAUUAUACAGUCUUGUAAUAAAAGUCAAAUUACUGAUAUGACACAUUCAGAGCAAAGGUUAGGUAAUUAAUUCCCACAUCAUACUGCUUUUCUUGGCAGCUAUCAAACAUUCCUAUGACUUUAUUAUAUAAUGCUUUUAAAUUGCCAGUUCCACAAUGACCUUUAUGUUUGUAAAGAGUUGUGUUCAAUAGGUCAGUAUUUUUGUACAUUUUAACAUCUCUUUCAGAUUCUGUUUCUUGUUGACACUUUCCCUUUCAUUUCACAGGCCAUCUUAUCACAGACUGACCCGCAUUGUUAACAAGUUAUGGAAGUCCAUGGAUUCUUUUCACUGAAUGGUUAUAAUUUCAAAGGCCCAGGGUUUUAUGGGAUGGUAUUAGAGAGUAUUAUCCUAUAUGAUAAAUACAGUUUGACCAUGGUAGCUACAACAAGCCCUCCUUGGCUUGUGCUAGUUUUAAACUUCUUAGGUCAGCCCUUUCUGCAACUGAUGCAAACCAUACUUCAUCAUGCCGCAGUGCUUUGCCAGCUCAUGACAUAUGUGUGGAUCACAAUUUGGUACGACAGCAGCAGCAAGCACAUUUUAGCCAGGAAAGAUUCACCUUCCAAAACCUGAUCAUGAAGAUGGUUUCCCUAAACAUUGGGAAGCAUGGCUUUCCCAAGAAGGAGCAGUCAUUGCUCCUUCUUGGACAUGCACUUCUUGAGAUUGGUUGGUGAAAUAAUAGUGCAAACUGGACUGGAUAUGGAUACAGCCACAGCUAUCCUCAUGAUAGUCAUGGUUGGGGAAAAUGCAGACGUAAUAAUGGAAAUGUCAGCAGAUGGUCUCUGUGUAAUAGUCUGGCUUCUCCUCAGGUGAUAUGGGUGCUGUGGCUGUUUGCUUAUUGAAGACUUUGGCCUGGUUUUCUAUUGACUGAACCACCUUCUGAUUUUUUGGUUCAAAGGAUAGGCUUUGGGCCACAUUUGAACUUUGCUGAUCAGCUCAUCUUAGGAAGUUAUGAAAAUUCUGGUUAUUUAAUGAGUUGUCAAAAUGCAUCCAAGGGACUGAGCAGAUCAGGGUUACAUGAAGUUAAAACAUUUGUGACGUGAAGAUGAGACCAUGGAAGAAAAAUUGAUUUGACAUCCUCCCCACUCCUUAAAAUAAAGUCCUACUUGGCAUACUGCAAGGCAUAUUUGGGUCUUAAAAAGAGGAACUACAUCCACAGGAGGCAAGAAAGAUCUAUAUAUGCAAACAGGGAUUUUAUUGCAUGCAACAAAUAUUCAGAAUGUUAUAUAAAGGAUAGUUUGGAUACAUAUUGUUUCCAUAAUGUCUGUCAUACCGCCAUUCACUUAGGAUUAGGGAGCCAAAAUAAUGCGAAUCCAAAACGAAUUACUGAGAAAACACUGGCUGACAUCCGGACAAAUGAAGCAUGAAUAAAGAGGGACUGUGGGGGGUCCUGGGAACCUUCAUGCACCCCCCCAUGUGUAUUGUUGCACAAGAGACUCCUGGAGUAUUUCUUGCACUCCAGAAGGGCCCGGCAAGAUCGUAAGCACAUUGCUGAUUCUCAGCUACCUAUUUCUGAUCUUGCAGAGCCCUUUUGGAGCUCAGGGAGUAUUCCAUCUAGGGCUGUUGCACAACAGCAUGUUUAGGGGGACUGGGGGCAUGAGGGCUCCCGGAGCCCCUCUGCUGUCCCUCCUUAUGCACACUCUUUGUUAGUCAGGAUGUCAGCCAAUGUUUAGAAAUAUUAGAAAUAUAACUGUGAUGUUUGUAAGGAACUCUACCACACACAUCAAUGUUCCAUAUGGUUUUAGCUUUCAAGUAUCUUUUAAAAAAUAUUGGAUCAGACCAGGGAUUCCCAAAUUUGUGUCCCCAGAUGUUUUUGGAUUGCAGACCCUUUGGCUACUGUGGAUAGGGAUGAUGGGAGUUGUCCAGCAACAUCUGGGGAUUGAAGGUUGGGAACUCCUAGAUCAAGACACACAAAUUUCUAUCAGAAAUAAUUGUUUCUGUAGUAAGAGGACAUUGGCACCUUUUAAUAUCUCAAAUAAGGACUUUUUGAAUAUGGUAAUUAGAUCAUCUGUUACUGUGUCAACGCUUAUUCGUGUUAUUUGAUUAACAUUAUAGAAAUUCCUUCUCUUGUCAGUUUUGCUAUUACCAGUUGGCUGAUGUUGUUGGUCUCAAAUUAUAAAGAUUUAAUUUUCUACAUCCUCUGCAAAGGGCCUAUUUAUAAUUACCUUUUUGAACAAUUUUCGGCCAGAAUGACCAAAGUUGUUUGGUCUUCUGCUUUGAAUUCCAAUAGCUUAUCAUUUCUUAUUCGAUAAAGGCUCUCCAUUCACAAUAACAUACCCUUGACUCAUGAAGAGAGAAACAUCAAAGAGGAAAGAAUGCAAGAAACAAGUUGAACUGAACAGCACUGAAACAAUGUGAAGGCUUAUUGAGAGCUGGAGUUAAUGCUGAAUAUAAUCUCAGUCCAAUCAAUGGUAUUGUGCUUCAUCCGAUGAAAACCACAUUCAACAUAACUGCUGUUAGUUCCUGUUUAAAAUCCUAAUCAGAGAUGGUGCCAACGUGU
This is a long non-coding RNA of Hemicordylus capensis (graceful crag lizard), 4211 nucleotides long. RefSeq lists it as uncharacterized. The transcript has 3 exons. The record is from RefSeq and is a predicted model, not a curated record. Lineage: Eukaryota; Metazoa; Chordata; Lepidosauria; Squamata; Cordylidae.